Molecule: ribosomal RNA, 609 nt
Filed under: Dicranocephalus femoralis
Lineage: Eukaryota; Metazoa; Arthropoda; Insecta; Hemiptera; Stenocephalidae
Description: partial 12S ribosomal RNA
Source: RNAcentral
AUAUUUCCAACUUCACUUUCCAGUAAAAUUACUUUGUUACGACUUAUUUCAUCUUAAUAAUGAAAGUGACGGGCGAUGUGUGCAUAAUUUAGAGCCAAAAUCAUUUUUAAAAAAUAUUAAAAAUUACUCUCAAAUCCUAUUUCAUAAAUCUUAUUCAAGAUAAAAAUCCAAUAAAUAUCAUUAAAUGUAACCCAUUACAAUCCUUAAUAUAGCUGCACCUUGACCUGACAUUUUCUAAAUAAAUAAUUAAAGAAAAUUUUCUAAUAAAACAUUCAAUGACAGAGAUAUACAAACAAUAAAUUAAGGUAAAAUCCAACGUGGAUUAUCAAUUACAGAACAGGUUCCUCUGAAAAGACUAAAUUACCGCCAAAUUCUUUUAAUUUCAAGAUCUUAACUAAUAAUACUAUGGUAAUCAAUUUUACAAUUAAAAUAAUAGGGUAUCUAAUCCUAGUUUAAAAUUUAAAUUUCAUAUUAAAAUAUUUAACCAAAGAAAACUUACUAUUAAAAUUUCACCUAAAAAUAAUAAAUAAUAUCUCAACAAUAAAAAUAAAUAUUAACCAAAAAAAUUAAUUAGAAGCUAUUGUAUAACCGCGGUUGCUGGCACCAAAA